Molecule: long non-coding RNA, 901 nt
Filed under: Citrus maxima (pomelo)
Lineage: Eukaryota; Viridiplantae; Streptophyta; Magnoliopsida; Sapindales; Rutaceae
Description: long non-coding RNA (CMAX_LNC001366)
Source: RNAcentral
GAAAAAGACAAAAAUUAUCAUGCAAGAUUACAUUAAAUAGUGAUGACGAACACUUCCAACAAACCAAGAAAAGCAACCAUCACAAAUUUCUAUAACCAUUUUCUCCUAAACUAUGUAGAGAAAAAUAGUAAUUUAAUUAUAAAAAUUUCUAACAUACAUUUAAUCAAAUACCUUCUCUCGUAUUAUGUAGAUAAAAAUAAAAUGUUAACUAUAUGAAUCUCUAAUAGACAUUUAAUCAAGCACUUUACAUGUGCAAAAAUCUUUCAAAAUUGUAAACCAAUUAUACAUGUUAAAUCUUCAAUUGACAUUCAAAUUUUCCCAAAUCAUGAUUUCUUAGACAAGAACGAGUAAAAUUUACAAGAUAAUUGAACAUGAAAAUAUCAAGAUAAAGCCAAACCCUAACCAUCGCGACAACCACAAGCCACCAUUACCUUACCCCUCCACAACAAAUCCAAUACCAUGCAAAUCAAACCCAAUCAAUUUUUGCACCAAAAUCCCAUCAAUUUUACUAUUUAGAAAACUAAACCCACAAGUUUUAAUACAUACCUGAUGUCAAUUUUAAUUUAAAAAAAAAUUCAGCAACCUUACCUGGAUAUGGAUUGAUUCAUCGAGGAAAAAAAAUUAAAAAAAAAAAACAAUUGUUUCUCACGGUGGAGGUAGAUAUACUUGUGGAGAUAAUGAAAAGAUGAAAAAACUGAGUAACAAUGUGAAAUGAGAGAGCAAACAAGCGUGACAGCUUUAUAUGAAGGAAGAAUGGUGGCAUUUUGAAUGACAAAAUAGUGGAGUUUUUAUGAUCUAUUAAGAUUGAAAUUUUAAUUCUAGGGUUUCAAAUGAUGAAAGAGAGAGGCAAAAUGGAGAGUGAUUGGGAGAACGUCCAACACUUAGACAAAAUUGUGUGUUU